Gymnothorax javanicus (giant moray) is the source of this 92-nucleotide non-coding RNA. NCBI's taxonomy places the organism in Eukaryota, Metazoa, Chordata, Actinopteri, Anguilliformes, Muraenidae. The record is from the annotation of a GenBank genome assembly.
ACUCACUUGGUCUAGUGGUUAAGACUGUGGUGUGUGGUGUGCUUGGAAUUACUUUGUCCACAGGUUCCCGGGUUCGAAUCCCGCAGCGGAUG